GACGGGGGAUGGAAGCGUUAUCUGCAAUCACUGGGCGUCAAGCGUCUGUAGGUGGUGAAGCAAGCCACUGGUGCAAAACUCUGGCUCAACCGGAGGAAAGCCAGUGAAACUGCAUGACUAGAGUGUGGGAGAGGUAGAAGGAAUUCUCUGAGUAGCGGUGAAAUGCGUAGAUACAGGGAAGAACACCGGAGGCGAAAGCGUUCUACUGGAACACAACUGACACUGAGAGACGAAAGCUAGGGGAGCGAAUGGG
Molecule: ribosomal RNA, 253 nt
Filed under: uncultured bacterium
Lineage: Bacteria
Description: partial 16S ribosomal RNA
Rfam family: Bacterial small subunit ribosomal RNA
Source: RNAcentral